Molecule: ribosomal RNA, 482 nt
Filed under: uncultured bacterium
Lineage: Bacteria
Description: partial 16S ribosomal RNA
Rfam family: Bacterial small subunit ribosomal RNA
Source: RNAcentral
AUUGAACGCUGGCGGCAUGCUUUACACAUGCAAGUCGAACGGUAACAGGCCGCAAGGUGCUGACGAGUGGCGAACGGGUGAGUAAUGCAUCGGAACGUGCCCAGUCGUGGGGGAUAACUACUCGAAAGAGUAGCUAAUACCGCAUACGAGCUAUGGAUGAAAGCGGGGGACCGUAAGGCCUCGCGCGAUUGGAGCGGCCGAUGUCAGAUUAGGUAGUUGGUGGGGUAAAGGCUCACCAAGCCAACGAUCUGUAGCUGGUCUGAGAGGACGACCAGCCACACUGGGACUGAGACACGGCCCAGACUCCUACGGGAGGCAGCAGUGGGGAAUUUUGGACAAUGGGCGCAAGCCUGAUCCAGCAAUGCCGCGUGCAGGAAGAAGGCCUUCGGGUUGUAAACUGCUUUUGUACGGAACGAAACGGCUCUGGUUAAUACCCGGGGCUAAUGACGGUACCGUAAGAAUAAGCACCGGCUAACUACGUG